This 460-nucleotide ribosomal RNA is filed under the name uncultured bacterium. RNAcentral's name for it is "partial 16S ribosomal RNA". It matches the Rfam family "Bacterial small subunit ribosomal RNA", at positions 338 to 795 of the family's 1533-position model. The record is from RNAcentral.
CCUACGUGCGGCUGCAGUGAGGAAUAUUGGGCAAUGGGCGCAAGCCUGAACCAGCAAAGUCGCGUGAGGGAUGACGGUCCUAUGGAUUUUAAACCUCUUUUGUCGGGGAGCAAGGCCCGCCACGUGUGGCGGGAAGGAGAGUACCCGAAGAAAAAGCAUCGGCUAACUCCGUGCCAGCAGCCGCGGUAAUUCGGAGGAUGCGAGGGGUAUCCGGAUUUAUUGGGUUAAAAGGGUGCGAAGGCGGAAAGUUAAGUCAGCGGUCAAAGGUUGGUUCUGAACACCGGACUGCAGUGGACACUGGUCGUCUUGAGUGAGCGAGAAGUAUGCGGAAUGCGUGGUGUAGCGGUGAAAUGCAUAGAGAUCACGCAGAACUCCGAUUGCGAAGGCAGCAUACCGGCGCUCAACUGACGCUGAGGCACGAAAGCGUGGGGAUCGAACAGGAUUAGAUACCCGUGUAGUC